AACGAACGCUGGCGGCGUGGAUAAGACAUGCAAGUCGAACGGGACAAUCUUGUAGCAAUACCGGGUUGUUCAGUGGCGAACGGGUGCGUAACACGUGGAUAACAUACCGGAAAGCGAGGAAUAGCCCAGGGAAACUUGGAUUAAUACCUCAUGUGGUCGCAAGACUAAAGGCGGGGCAACCUGUCGCUUUCUGAUUGGUCCGCGGCCUAUCAGCUAGUUGGCGGGGUAACGGCCCACCAAGGCGACGACGGGUAGCUGGUCUGAGAGGAUGACCAGCCACACUGGAACUGAGACACGGUCCAGACACCUACGGGUGGCAGCAGUCGAGAAUCAUUCACAAUGGGGGAAACCCUGAUGGUGCGACGCCGCGUGGAGGAUAAGGUCUUCGGAUUGUAAACUCCUGUCAUGCGAGAGCAAGAUCUGUGCGGGUAACUCCGCUGGAUUUGAUAGUAUCGCAAGAGGAAGAGACGGCUAACUCUGUGCCAGCAGCCG
RNAcentral lists this ribosomal RNA (492 nucleotides) under uncultured bacterium. Its description in RNAcentral is "bacterial SSU rRNA". It matches the Rfam family "Bacterial small subunit ribosomal RNA", at positions 29 to 517 of the family's 1533-position model. The record is from RNAcentral.